RNAcentral lists this ribosomal RNA (496 nucleotides) under uncultured bacterium. RNAcentral's name for it is "partial 16S ribosomal RNA". It matches the Rfam family "Bacterial small subunit ribosomal RNA", at positions 29 to 507 of the family's 1533-position model. The record is from RNAcentral.
AUGCACGCUGGCGGCGUGCCUAAUACAUGCCAGUCGAGCGAACGGACGAGAAGCUUGCUUCUCUGAUGUUAGCGGCGGACGGGUGAGUAACACGUGGAUAACCUACCUAUAAGACUGGGAUAACUUCGGGAAACCGGAGCUAAUACCGGAUAAUAUUUUGAACCGCCUGGUUCAAAAGUGAAAGACGGUCUUGCUGUCACUUAUAGAUGGAUCCGCGCUGCAUUAGCUAGUUGGUAAGGUAACGGCUUACCAAGGCAACGAUGCAUAGCCGACCUGAGAGGGUGAUCGGCCACACUGGAACUGAGACACGGUCCAGACUCCUACGGGAGGCAGCAGUAGGGAAUCUUCCGCAAUGGGCGAAAGCCUGACGGAGCAACGCCGCGUGAGUGAUGAAGGUCUUCGGAUCGUAAAACUCUGUUAUUAGGGAAGAACAUAUGUGUAAGUAACUGUGCACAUCUUGACGGUACCUAAUCAGAAAGCCACGGCUAACUACGUG